CCGGCGUGGGACUUGGAGAGGACGCGGACGGGCCUCUGGUGUUCGGGCCGGCCUUUCCUCUCGGCCUGUAUACUCUCGGCCUCUUGGAGGAACCGCUAAUACCUAACCCUAGCUUCCCCCGAUCCCCAAUUCCCCAUCCUCCACCUUCGCUUCCCUUCCGGCGCCGCCUCUCCUUCCCUGUCGCGUUGUAGCUCCUCCGAGGGUAGGAUGGUGAAGGGGACCGAGGACCUCCUUGCAACCUUAACCAUGUCCUCCGCCGCUGGUUCUGCUGCCGUGAAGGAGACGAACUCGUCGUCGUGGUCCGGACGUCCGCGUACUGGGUCACGACGUCCCUCCCAUGUCCGAGGCCUCGUCGACAGCUAUGUGGUACCCGGCGAUGUCGUCCUGGACCUAUCCGAGAUGACCAACCAGACCAUAAAGCUCGGCACGGGCCUGCGUCAGGAAUGUGACACCAUCCAGGCGACCAGUGCUGGGAUGCUGCGGUUGUCGAAGCCCAACAAGUAUUGGGUUGAGAGUUCCCAGAAGAGGUAUGUACCUUCUGUAGAAGAUACAGUUAUUGGUGUUGUGGUCGACACAAAACCAGACAACUUUUUGGUGGACAUAAAGGGUCCUAGCGUGGCCUUUCUACCAGUGCUUUCAUUUGAAGGUGGUACCAGGAGAAAUAUACCAAAGUUCGAGAUUGGUACAUUAAUAUAUGCUCGAGUGGUGAAGGCAAAUAACAUCAUGAAUCCAGAGCUCUCAUGCAUGGAUGCUACUGGGAAAGCUGCUGAAUUUGGUCAGUUGAAAGGUGGCUAUAUGUUUGACACAUUAACUGGCAUGUCACGAAUGUUGUUAAGUUCACCAACAUGUCCAGUUCUGGAGGCCCUUGGGAAAAAACUAUCAUUUGAGAUUGCUGUUGGACUCAAUGGUCGAGUCUGGGUGAAUGCUCCUGCACCAAGUACGGUCAUUCUUGUAUCAAAUGCGAUUAUGAAGUCAGAAUCUUUGAGUGGCAUAAAACAAAGAGCUAUGGUAGAAAAUCUCCUAGAGAGGUUGUCAUGAUGGCAAUGUACUCUCACGCAAUCGAUGUAUUUUGGAGUAUUGCUUGGUUAGAUGCCACAGCCUAUUCUGCAACAGGAAAAGGUCCUCUGUACUCCCAUGUUCUUGCAACCUUGACGCAGACCGUUGCGAAACGAUCAUGAGGUUCCAGAGCAGCAAGAAGAGUAAACGACAUCUUGUAUUUCCAGGGGAAAAGAUAAACGACCAGGUGUUAUGAGAAACAAUUACAAAUGACGAUGCCAGUGUACUUUUUAGAACUAACAUUGUAGUGAAAUCAUAGGAGUCAGAAUCAAUUUUUGAGCAAACGAGAAAGAAAUGCAGGCAACCUUAUGGUGAAGAAUGUAGGCAGAUAUAGAAGAGGCCACAUGUAAAUAAGAGAAAUGGUACUAUAAGCAACCAAAGGCAAAUACAGUAAGAAAUCACAGUAAUAUUUAUUGAUAUUGUUUCUUA
Molecule: RNA transcript, 1485 nt
Organism: Panicum virgatum (switchgrass)
Lineage: Eukaryota; Viridiplantae; Streptophyta; Magnoliopsida; Poales; Poaceae
Gene name: putative exosome complex component rrp40
Exons: 12
Source: RefSeq, a predicted model, not a curated record